CAGCCGUAAACAAUGUGCGUUAGGUGUGUCGGUAACCACGCGUUACUGAUGCGCCGAAGAGAAAUCGUGAAACGCACCACCUGGGAAGUACGGUCGCAAGGCUGAAACUUAAAGGAAUUGGGCGGGGGAGCACCACAACAGGUGGAGCCUGCGGUUUAAUUGGAUUCAACGCCGGACAUCUCACCGGAUAAGACAGCUGAAUGAUUGUCAAUCUGAAGGUUUUACAUGACUAGCUGAGAGGUGGUGCAUGGCGUCAGUGACU
This 262-nucleotide ribosomal RNA is filed under the name uncultured archaeon. RNAcentral's name for it is "partial 16S ribosomal RNA". It matches the Rfam family "Archaeal small subunit ribosomal RNA", at positions 748 to 1008 of the family's 1478-position model. The record is from RNAcentral.